GACGAACCGUGCGAACGUUGUUCGGAAUCACUGGGCUUAAAGGGCGCGUAGGCGGAUGACCAAGUCAGGGGUGAAAGCCCGCAGCUCAACUGCGGAAGUGCCUUUGAUACUGGUUGUCUCGAGGGAGAUAGGGGCAUGUGGAACUUCCGGUGGAGCGGUGAAAUGCGUAGAUAUCGGAAAGAACACCAACGGCGAAAGCACUCUGCUGGGCCGACACUGACACUGAGAGACGAAAGCUAGGGGAGCAAAUGGG
This 253-nucleotide ribosomal RNA is filed under the name uncultured bacterium. RNAcentral's name for it is "partial 16S ribosomal RNA". It matches the Rfam family "Bacterial small subunit ribosomal RNA", at positions 524 to 776 of the family's 1533-position model. The record is from RNAcentral.